GAUGAAGAACGCAGCGAAAUGCGAUACGUAAUGUGAAUUGCAGAAUUCAGUGAAUCAUCGAAUCUUUGAACGCAUAUUGCGCUCUCUGGUAUUCCGGAGAGCAUGCUUGUUUGAGUAUCAGUAAACACCUCAACUUCCAUAUCUUUUUUGAAAUGGGAGUUGGACUUGAGUGAUCCCAACGCUUUUCCUCACCGAAAAGUGGCGGGUUACUUGAAAUGCAGGUGCAGCUGGACUUUUCUCUGAGCUAUAAGCGUAUCUAUUUAGUCUGCCUAAAAAACAGAUUAUUACCUUUGCUGCAGCUAACAUAAAGGAGAUUAGUUCUUGUGCUGACUGAUGCAGGAUUCACAAAGACAGGCUUCGGCCGACUUUGUAAACUCGAUCUCAAAUCAAGUAAGACUACCCGCUGAACUUAAGCAUAUCAAUAAGCGGAGGA
RNAcentral lists this unclassified non-coding RNA (433 nucleotides) under soil metagenome. Its description in RNAcentral is "partial contains 5.8S ribosomal RNA, internal transcribed spacer 2, and large subunit ribosomal RNA". The stretch from base 1 to 120 matches the Rfam family "5.8S ribosomal RNA", at positions 35 to 154 of the family's 154-position model. The record is from RNAcentral.